AAGGUUACUGGUGAAGUUUUCUAUAAAAUAAACAAUUUUGGGUUCUUUCAUAUAAAUAAUUAUAUGUUUUAUGUGGUAAAAAAUAUCUUUCGAAAGAGGUAGGGUUUUAAGUGUUAUUUUUCAGUAUAGGAUAUUAUACAUUGCACUUAAAUUAUGUUAAUCUUUAACAGUUAAACAACUACACAAAAGCGAUCAUCGCAAUAAUAAGCAAAACACGAAGAUUCUACUUAAUAUAUUUUAAAACAUAUAAAACGACUUUUCUCAUAAAGAAAUAGCCAUUUGUUAACUACCGCAGUUUAUGAUUAUGUUUAACAAAAACUAAACAUAAUUAUGUCCAGUCUGUUACAAGGUCUAUAUAUACGAUAAAAAAGAUAAAAACAAAAAUUGCUUCACUUUAGUAAGAAAUGCCUCUACAUAGCAUAAAUGAACAGUGUUUAUUCAUUAUAAGGCCAUUUCAAUUGAUAUUUUAUAGUGUGUCUUUCUAUGAUGUAAAGUUACACAAUUGUUUCAGGUAAGGUUGAAGAUUGGUAUCUUUUAAAAGGUUUAAACUUGAUGCAUUUGUUUCCACCUGUCUUAUUAAGUCAGGAACCUGAUGUUCAGUUGAUGUCGUCACAUUGUUGAUGUGGUUCAUAAAUGUUUCUCAAUUUUUAUAUAGAUUAGACCGUUGGUUUUCCCGUUUGAAUUGUUUUACGCUAGUCGUUUUUUUUUUUGGGGGCCUUUAUAUAGCUUGCUGUUUGGUGUGAGCCAAAUUGAAUGCUCCGUGUUGAAGACCGUACUUUGACCUAUAAUGGUUUACUUUUACAAAUUAUGGCUUGGAUUGAGAGUUGUCUCAUUGACACUCACACCACACCUUCUAUAUCAGUGAAUUUAAAAUAUGUUCUAAAAUGCAGCAGCUUGUUCCAUUCUUUAGUGUUUCGUCUAACUGUAAAGUUUGAUUUCCGUUUUGAUGUUGUACCGUCUUGAUGUAAACACUUUAGAAAAUCUUGCUCUGUCACUUUCACCAUGAACUGUCAAAAUAUGCUUAAUUGUUCGCAUGUAUUUUGUAUUGUACUCAUAUUAUAAGUAAAGGUGAUAGUCUCUCCAUUCUAAACAAACCAUAUGAAAUUCUAAACAAAUAAUAUGAAAUUCUAUGAAAUUCUAAACAAUAAUAUAAAAUUCUAAGCAAAUCAUAUAUGAAACUAAUAGGAGUGGAUACACCAAUUAUUGGGUGCCUCUUUUAACACGCAACAGUUAAAACAAUAGUCAAAAUUUAUGUUUUGUCUGUAUAUGUAAAAACCUACUUCUGCUUAUUUGUCUGUACAUGUAUAUACAAAAGAUAUAAGUGUGUGUAUUUCCGUUUUUAGCAAGUUACUACUCCACUAUCUAGAAGCAACAUUCGACUCAUAUGAUAAUAGACUAUGAAUGCAUUUUUUGUUUGUUUGCCAGAAGUCUGUGGUUCUGUUAUAGCACACUAGCUUCCUCCGCUUAUAAAAUGACUAUCAUAAUAUUGCCUAGCGAGCGUUUAAUUCAUAAAUAAGUUAAUCUCUUAUGUACAAUAUAUCUGUUGUAUAACCUCUUUAAAGUCGUACUUGCAUGUAUAUAUUAUAUCUGUGUACAUGCAUUAUUUAUGAAUGUUAUUACUUUUCAGCUUAAAUAUGAAAGUCGCCGUAAUCAUCGUCUGUCUGGUUAUUUUGAACAUGUGUGAAGACACAACAUGCGCUACUGACCAAUGUACCUUAGACUGCAUACUUGGUACCAGUACCUGUAUUGGUGGUUGUGCUGGACAAGACAUAUUUCAGAUGCUGUCUUGUCAUUCAAACUGCAAAACUCAAUGUAUACUAUGUACCACCAAGUGCCCUAACCGUGCAGGAACAGCUUGUCAGUUUUAACUUAUAAAUCAAAGAUUUUUGUUUUAAAAAUGUUACAAAAAGUAUUUCUAGUUCAUUAAAUUAUGUGCAUGUCAGUUUGAUAAAUAAUUAAUACAAUUGAGAUUAAAAUGGGAUAUGUGUCAUAGAGACAACACAGCGAGAAAACUUUGCACCCGAGACGUGCUUCGGUUGUCCCCAAAACAAAUGUGUACUUGUUCAGUGAUAAUGGAGGCCAUACUAAACUCCUAAACACAAAAAUGAAUUACAAUAAAAAAAAUCAUGCAAGAUUGACAAAGGUCAGAGACUCCCCACUUAAUUGUGAAUAUUUAUAGGAUAUCUUAUGAAUUAUAUGAUACCUUGUAGAGUUUUCUAGUAUAAGAUAUCGUAUAUAAUCUAAGCUUUUAUAAGAUAUCUUAUAAACUCCACAAGGUAUCAUAUAAUUCAUAAGAUAUCCCAUAAAUAUAUUUAUACAUAAGAUAUCUUAUAAACUUUAUAAGAUAUUUUAUAUAGACUAAGUUAAUAAGAUAUCUACAAAGACAUAUAAUAGUUUUAAUAUAAGAUAUCUCAUUUUGUUUAGAAGAAAUCGGAUUUAAUUCUAAGAUAUCUUAUUAAGAAAAUUGUAAUAUGAUAUCUUAUAAAAUA
Molecule: long non-coding RNA, 2489 nt
Filed under: Mytilus galloprovincialis (Mediterranean mussel)
Lineage: Eukaryota; Metazoa; Mollusca; Bivalvia; Mytilida; Mytilidae
Source: RNAcentral